UCCUCCCUCUUUCCUCGUGCUUAACACAUGCAAGUCGAACGAAGAGCGAUGGAAGCUUGCUUCUAUCAAUCUUAGUGGCGAACGGGUGAGUAACGCGUAAUCAACCUGCCCUUCAGAGGGGGACAACAGUUGGAAACGACUGCUAAUACCGCAUACGAUCUAAUCUCGGCAUCGAGGAUAGAUGAAAGGUGGCCUCUACAUGUAAGCUAUCACUGAAGGCGGGGAUUGCGUCUGAUUAGCUAGUUGGAGGGGUAACGGCCCACCAAGGCGAUGAUCAGUAGCCGGUCUGAGAGGAUGAACGGCCACAUUGGGACUGAGACACGGCCCAGACUCCUACGGGAGGCAGCAGUGGGGAAUCUUCCGCAAUGGACGAAAGUCUGACGGAGCAACGCCGCGUGAGUGAUGACGGCCUUCGGGUUGUAAAGCUCUGUUAAUCGGGACGAAAGGCCUUCUUGCGAAUAGUGAGAAGGAUUGACGGUACCGGAAUAGAAAGCCACGGCUAACUACGUG
Molecule: ribosomal RNA, 510 nt
Filed under: uncultured bacterium
Lineage: Bacteria
Description: partial 16S ribosomal RNA
Rfam family: Bacterial small subunit ribosomal RNA
Source: RNAcentral